This 468-nucleotide ribosomal RNA is filed under the name uncultured bacterium. Its description in RNAcentral is "partial 16S ribosomal RNA". It matches the Rfam family "Bacterial small subunit ribosomal RNA", at positions 28 to 507 of the family's 1533-position model. The record is from RNAcentral.
GACGAACGCUGGCGGCGUGCUUAACACAUGCAAGUCGAACGGAAAGGCCCUGCUUUUGUGGGGUGCUCGAGUGGCGAACGGGUGAGUAACACGUGAGUAACCUGCCCUUGACUUUGGUAUAACUUCAGGAAACUGGGGCUAAUACCGGAUAGGAGCUCCUGCUGCAUGGUGGGCGUUGGAAAGUUUCGGCGGUUGGGGAUGGACUCGCGGCUUAUCAGCUUGUUGGUGGGGUAGUGGCUUACCAAGGCUUUGACGGGUCGCCGGCCUGAGAGGGUGACCGGGCUCAAUGGGACUGAGGUACGGCGCAGACGCCUACGGGAGGCAGCGGUGGGGAGUAUGGUACAAUGGGAGGAAGCCGGAUGCAGCAACGCCGCGUGCGGGAUGACGGCCUGUGGGGUGUAAACCGCUUUCGCCUGUGACGAAGCGGGAGUGACGGUAAUGGGUAAAGAAGCACCGGCUAACUACGUG